GAGGGACGGUAAAGAGAAGGAAAAAUCAAAACUCGGAGGGGAAGGGUGGCUAGGAGGGAAACUGGAGCGGAGAGAAGGAAGGGGAUGCGAAGAGGGAAUGAAGAAUGGGGGGAGAAGUGUAGAAUCCGACCCUGUAGAAUCCAACCCGAGAGCUACGGUGAAGCCUCCUGUUUCCCUGCAAAGCUGGAGCCAGUGCGGGGAGAUGCCAAGGGCCCGCUUGGCUCAUGCCUUUUGGACUGGACCCUGGAUGCCUGUCAGUAAACCUGUCUGUCUGGUUGGCAGUUGGAAAAGGAGCUGGUGUCUUGGGGAUGUGUGCCAACAUCUACCAGGGCAGAGGGAGUCCCAGUGGCAAAGGUGCCCCCUGAGACCUCUACUCACCCCCUAAGGGGCAAUCCAAGAGAAAGCCCAGCCCUAAAGUCACCGGGUGGGGGCGGGGUGGGCAGACCCAGGGAAGCCGUGGCCUCUAGCCAGCCCCACCUCUUUGACAUUUGAUGUAGCCUCUGCAGUCUCGACAUUUCCAAAUUGGUGUUUAUCUUACCCACAGCUAGGUGCACCCUCCUGUUCCGCUUGGUUUGCCAGCCCCACCGUCUCUACAUCCUCUUAGAUUUGAAUCCUAAACCCUUUCUCCCUUACACCAGCUUCAACCUAUCCUGGCUCCAUCUGGCCAAGUAAAUUCCUUUCUGUCUCCUGUUAACAUAAUUACUCAGUUACCCAAUAUACCUACAAAGGCAGUGGAAACAGUAGCAGCUGAAUUUAAGAGACAUUUUGAAGAGUAACUGGAUGGGAUUGAGCUGUUAGAGGUGGUUUGAGAGAUGGAGGGUGAAUCUUUGUUGGCUGGUAUAUGCCGUACACAUGUAUGCUGUAUGCUUCGUCCGGUGGUAUGUGCUGCUGUAACAAAGUACCACAGAUUGCUUGGCUUAAACAAUAGAAGUUCAUUGUCUUAUAAUUCUGGAGGCCACAAGUCCAAGAUCAAGAUGUCAGCAAGGUUAAGUUCCUUCUGGGGAUUUGAAAAGGUAUCUGUUCUAUGCCUCUCAUUUUGCUUCUGGUGGCUCGCUGGCAACCUUUGGCAUUCCCUGACUUGUAGAAGCAUCACCUGACCUCUACCUUUAUUGUCACAUGGUGGUCUCCCCAUGUGUGUGUCUCUGUGCCCAAACUUCCCCUUUUGAUCGAGACACUAGUCAUGUUGGAUGACGACUUACUCUAGUGACCUCAUCUUAAGUCAACUAUUUAUAUCUGCAAAUGAUCCUUUUUCCAAAUAAGGUUACAUUCUGAGGUACUGUGGUUAGGACUUCAAAAUACAGAUUUGCAUGGUGGGGACAUAAUUUAACCCACACUGGGUAGGGAAAUGGUAAUUCUAGUCACAGAGGUGGCAUAAGAGUGGAGCAGAUUGGGGUGAGGGAGAGGAGGAUGGAUUUGUUUUAGAUGUUAUAUUUGAGGUGAGCAUGGUUGAUGGGUCACCAGAAGGGAGUCAGAAACUUGGUAGAGAGAUGCAAAUGUUAUCAUCUAUGAAAAUGAUACAAUUCAUUAUUGGAAAUGGUUUAUCAAUAGAUGGUCACGCAUAUAAA
Molecule: long non-coding RNA, 1565 nt
Filed under: Sus scrofa (pig)
Lineage: Eukaryota; Metazoa; Chordata; Mammalia; Artiodactyla; Suidae
Description: lncRNA (ENSSSCG00045020726.1)
Source: RNAcentral